Molecule: ribosomal RNA, 253 nt
Filed under: uncultured bacterium
Lineage: Bacteria
Description: partial 16S ribosomal RNA
Rfam family: Bacterial small subunit ribosomal RNA
Source: RNAcentral
GACGAACCGUACGAACGUUAUUCGGAAUCACUGGGCUUAAAGGGUGCGUAGGCUGCGCAGCAAGUUGGGUGUGAAAUCCCUCGGCUUAACCGAGGAACUGCGCCCAAAACUGCUGUGCUCGAGGGAGAUAGAGGUGAGCGGAACUUAGGGUGGAGCGGUGAAAUGCGUAGAUAUCGGGAGGAACACUUGUGGCGAAAGCGGCGCACUGGACCACUUCUGACGCUGAGGCGCGAAAGCUAGGGGAGCAAACAGG